AAGGAUUUAAGUUAAUUAAACUAGUAACCUUCAAAGUUACCAAUAAGAACAGAUUCUUAGGCCUUA
Molecule: transfer RNA, 66 nt
Filed under: Athous haemorrhoidalis
Lineage: Eukaryota; Metazoa; Arthropoda; Insecta; Coleoptera; Elateridae
Description: tRNA-Trp
Source: RNAcentral